GACGAACGCUGGCGGCGUGCUUAACACAUGCCAGUCGAACGGAAAGGCCCUGCUUUUGUGGGGUGCUCGAGUGGCGAACGGGUGAGUAACACGUGAGUAACCUGCCCUUGACUUUGGGAUAACUUCAGGAAACUGGGGCUAAUACCGGAUAGGAGCUCCUGCUCCAUGGUGGGGGUUGGAAAGUUUCGGCGGUUGGGGAUGGACUCGCGGCUUAUCAGCUUGUUGGUGGGGUAGUGGCUUACCAAGGCUUUGACGGGUAGCCGGCCUUAGAGGGUGACCGGCCACAUGGGGCCUGCGAUAGGGCCCAGACUCCAACGGGAGGCAACAGUGGGGAGUAUUGCACAGUGGGCGGAAGCCUGAUGCAGCAACGCCGCGUUCGGGAUGACGGCCUUCGGGUUGUAAACCGCUUUCGCCUGUGACGAAGCGUGAGUGACGGUAAUGGGUAAAGAAGCACCGGCUAACUACGUG
RNAcentral lists this ribosomal RNA (468 nucleotides) under uncultured bacterium. RNAcentral describes it as "partial 16S ribosomal RNA". It matches the Rfam family "Bacterial small subunit ribosomal RNA", at positions 28 to 507 of the family's 1533-position model. The record is from RNAcentral.